UUAACCCAUGUUUCUCUAUCCUCAUCACAAAGACUAUAGAAAACAUUAAGCGCCGCACUAUCACAAGCAAUUUGGGUGGUGGCUUGAAGUCGUUCUACCGUUGUAAGACCACUAAUCUUCUUCAACUCUUCACUCAAUUAAGCAAGCUUAAUUGCAUUCAAUUAAGUACAACAGCUGUAAAAAAGCAAGAACAAUGAGUAAAAUAGUAAAAACAAUAGUAACCAGCAAGAAAAAUAGCAAGCAUAACAGCAGCAAACAGUAAAAACAGCAAAUGACAAGUGAAACGAUGGCUGAAAUACCAAAAAUAGCAAGUAAAACAGCAAAAACUAGCAACUAAAACAGUAAAAAAAUAGGAAAAAAAGUUAUAACCAGCAAGUAUAACAGUAAAGAUAGCAAGUAAAACAAUAACAAAAGUAGUAACCAACAAGUUUAACGGUAAAAAUAGCAAGUAAAACAACAAAACAAUAAGCAAGUAUAACAGUAAAAAUAACAAGUAAAAUAGUAAAAACAAUAAAAAAAAAGUAGUAAUAAGCAAGUAUAACGAUAAAAAACAACAAGUAGAAUAGCAAAAACAGCAAAGAAGAGUAGUAACCAAUAGGUAUAACAAUAAAAACAACAAGUAAAACAAUGAAAACAACAAAAAAGUAGUAACCAACAGGUAUAAUAGUAAAAGCAGCAAAAACAGCAAAAACUAGCAAGAAUAAUAGCAAAAACAGCAGUAACCAGCAAGUAUAACAACAUCAAACAGUAAAACAAAAAAACAGCAGAUAGAUUAGAAAAACACAUUAAUAAUAAGUAUUGUGGAGAAGAUAAUUUAUCAGAACAUUAAAUUCAUGUUAUUUUGAAACUUCAAACAAUUUACUGAACCUUCUUCAUUAACUUCAGCAUAUACAAAAUAAAAACAUCUCACAAAAUGUUUCUUGUAGCAAUUAAUUAAAUAAAUAACAACAACAGCAAAGUAACAGGUUACAAAGCAGCAAACUAUCUAAUGAAAAUUGAAAUUAACUUGGAAAGCUCUAUAUAAAAUUUUUUGAACACAAUCAAAGGAAUAAUUGCAAUUUCUCUACCAUUGCAUGAUGUUUAUUUCUAUUAAUUUGCAACAAGUCCAAAAUCGAAAGUACUAGCUCCUAAGAAUAAUUGUAAAUUUUACUAGCCAUCCAUUUCCUUCAAAAAAUCACUAGUCACACUUCAUCUUGUGCCUUGUUAUCGCAUUAAUAAAGUACAAUCCAAUAAGACAUAUAUAUAUAUAUUUUUUUUUGUGGUUUACACAUGAAGGUGGAAGCUAUAUUUGCUAAAACUCCACCCACAAAAAUACCUUAGCCGAAUAAUUAGGAUAAUUUUUUCUUAAUGUAAAGUCAACUACGGAUUGGAAAUAUGCUUCUAGAUGCAAUCAUAAUUUUUGGGGCAAAAUUAACAUUUUUUUUCUUAGACAGUUCAUCAAACACUUGGUAGGCAUAUAUCUAUAAAUUCAUCCAUUCACAAUAUAAAGUAACAAAAUCUUAAUCAAAGCCUCAUAAUAACUUAAUCAAACAAAAUGCAACAUCUAAAAUUUCAAAAUUUGUUCAAAUUAAAGCAACAGAAUCUAAAAUAGCCCUCUUCAAACUCAUUCUCCAUCAUCUCAUGAGCUAAACUCAUUAAAUAACCACAAUAGCCACACAAGAAUAAUUACAACAACUAACAAUAACAAAUUAAUAAUACCAUCAAAACGAUAAAAGUGACAACACUAAAACAUAUGAAAAGAGAUGAAAAUUUGUACCUAGGGUGAGAAACCAUGAAGCUAAAGCGUUGAUACUUGCUAAGAUAGCUCUGGCAAACAGACCCACUGUCGUAGCUCACCGACCAACAUAUGAGGCUCACUAUCGGAAGUUCAAAGAGAUUUUAAUUUUUGUUUCUAAGAUGAUUUGAUUUGAUUUUGAGUUAUGAGAGUUGUGAAAUCAUAGAAUAAUUUGCAAAUUAGGGUUAUUUGUGAAAGGGUAGAAUUGGGAAUAAAAAAAUAUAAUCAAGGGUAAAAUUGAGAAUUUAAGUCUUUUGGUUGUGUGGAAUUUAGAUUUCCUCACUCUUGCGAGAGAAGACCGAAUUCCUCUAGCUUACAGAAACUGGAUUUCCAUCAGAAUUUGACUUCCCAUCUAGUGUUGCCAACCAAAUAGUGGAAAUCAUAGAAGGAAUCCAAAUGCUCUCCUCUCCCGUGUGGUUU
RNAcentral lists this long non-coding RNA (2194 nucleotides) under Citrus maxima (pomelo). Its description in RNAcentral is "long non-coding RNA (CMAX_LNC004059)". The record is from RNAcentral. Lineage: Eukaryota; Viridiplantae; Streptophyta; Magnoliopsida; Sapindales; Rutaceae.